UAUUGGUUACUUCGCAAUUAUACUAUACGAACCCCGUCAGAACCGGAAGGUAGCAGCGGUAGUAUAUAUAUGAUGUGCCGAAGUUUUGCUAGUAGGG
This 97-nucleotide signal recognition particle RNA is filed under the name Nasibacterium caprae. RNAcentral describes it as "Moraxella sp. ZY210820 signal recognition particle sRNA small type". It matches the Rfam family "Bacterial small signal recognition particle RNA". Rfam says of the family: The signal recognition particle (SRP) is a universally conserved ribonucleoprotein involved in the co-translational targeting of proteins to membranes. Archaeal SRP consists of a 7S RNA and homologues of the eukaryotic SRP19 and SRP54 proteins. In most bacteria, the SRP consists of a 4.5S RNA and the Ffh protein (a homologue of the eukaryotic SRP54 protein). Lineage: Bacteria; Pseudomonadati; Pseudomonadota; Gammaproteobacteria; Moraxellales; Moraxellaceae. RNAcentral also lists the same sequence under 1 other name. The record is from RNAcentral.